Molecule: long non-coding RNA, 1677 nt
Organism: Callithrix jacchus (white-tufted-ear marmoset)
Lineage: Eukaryota; Metazoa; Chordata; Mammalia; Primates; Cebidae
Source: RefSeq, a predicted model, not a curated record
CGGGAGGACCCAGUCCAAGUGGGUGUGGAAGGACUCUGGAGUCGACGGGCAGUGCAGCCCGCAGGACCCAGCUGGCGGUGCCUGCUGGCCACUGAGAGAGGUCCUGCAAGCAAGUCCAGGCUUCAGGGAACCCGAUCCUUUGAGUUCCAGGUCCCACGAGGGCCCCUCCAGUGCCCGUCAGUCUCGCCAGUUCGCUUCCAGGGACGCAGGAAACACAGGCAGACCCCAGGGCUGUAGGAGUUGCCCUGGUGACCUGGUGACGGCUGACCCUGGAUCCUGGUUCUCAGGGCUCCGGAUUCCCACUUGAGCACAGGAAACAGCUGUGGGAAGCAGCCUGGGCCUGGAAGGGGCCUGUCUGGCUGGUCAUCCGCACCAAGGACCAGCGUUUGUAGAGUGAAUGAAUGAUGGAGAGAGGGCAAUGCUGAAGAACCCAAAUGCAAGUCGGAAAUAGGAAUGGCCACAUGUCCGGCUUGCCCAAAGCCAUGUCCUGCCCAGAUAUUUUGGAAAAAAGAAUCUAAAGAAUGAUAGUAUUUUGUGACACACGACAAUGUUAGGAAAUUCACAUUUUGGCGAUCUGGGAGUGGGAUGUGGGGGCCUCCUGUGGUCCUCCUGGCCCAUACCAUGCAGGCAGUCCAGUUGCAUGCAUUGGGUGCUAGGAUGGGAAUGUAGAGCCACAGCCUUUGCUCCUGGUGGGCUUAGCUCUGCCCUGGCUCUGGCCCUACACGGUGAGGAGCCCCCUGUUUCUAGUGUCCUGGAUUUACAGAGACCCAGACUCUACCAGCCCCUGCCUCUGCACCUUUGCCUAGGACAUUCCGCUGCCUGGAAUGUCUCCUCUGUCUGCCUAGCCAACCCCUCCCCAUCCCAGGUGCAGCCAGAUGCCCUUCCCAGCCCCAAAGUGUCCUUCCCAUCACACAUAGCCCUGAGGGAUACCCAGCUCCUCUGCUAGCCUGUACCAGGCUAUAGGCCAGGUCACCCCGCAUCAGUAGUGAAUGGCCAGCAGCAGCUUCCAGUGCUCAGUGGGCUUCUCUUGAGGUUCCCACCACCUUGGGCAGGUUGAGGGGGUGAUGAGAGGCCUGGCCAGAGGGCAGUGAGAUAGGUCAGAGGGCAAGGGGUCAGUUGGGCCUAGAGAAGCCCAGAGGACUGGGCACAGUGGCUCAUACCUGUAAUCCCACCUCUUUGGGAGGCUGAGGCAGGAGGAUCUCAUGAGCCCAGGGUGCGGUGAGCCAUGAUCCCGCCACUGCACUCUAGCCUGGGCAACACAGUUAGACCCCAUCUUAAAAAAUGUAAAAUAAAAUAAAAAACAGAGAGGAGGUGGGGGUAACUCUGAGUCCAGGAGAUAAGGGCUUAGUUAACUGGUUAGUUGGUUAGAUAGUAGGUGAGUUUGUUCACUCAUUUGUGCCCUCCACUUGGGAUAGAGUGACUCUGCCUCCUCCGAGCAGCUGCUGGGGCCCUGGGGCAGGACUGACCCGGCUGGCUCUGGACCAGGUGGAGAAACAUAUAUUUGAUUCUUACUCUGCACCAGGAAUCAGCCAACUACAGUCCCCAGGCCAAAUCCAGCCCAGGUCCUUGCCACCCUGCUCCCUGAUUACCUCGAUCACGUGUGAGCUGGGCCCACACACGGUGCCAGGCUCCACCACCUCCUGCCCAUUUGGCCAUGGGGUACUUACCUGUCCAGGA